RNAcentral lists this ribosomal RNA (254 nucleotides) under uncultured bacterium. RNAcentral describes it as "partial 16S ribosomal RNA". It matches the Rfam family "Bacterial small subunit ribosomal RNA", at positions 524 to 776 of the family's 1533-position model. The record is from RNAcentral.
UACGUAGGGUGCGAGCGUUAAUCGGAAUUACUGGGCGUAAAGCGUGCGCAGGCGGUUGUGCAAGACAGGUGUGAAAUCCCCGGGCUUAACCUGGGAACUGCGCUUGUGACUGCACGACUAGAGUACGGUAGAGGGGGGUGGAAUUCCUGGGUGUAGCAGUGAAAUGCGUAGAUAUCAGGAGGAACAUCGAUGGCGAAGGCAGCCCCCUGGACCUGUACUGACGCUCAUGCACGAAAGCGUGGGGAGCAAACAGG